RNAcentral lists this small nucleolar RNA (127 nucleotides) under Sorex araneus (European shrew). RNAcentral describes it as "Small nucleolar RNA SNORA3/SNORA45 family (ENSSARG00000016620.1)". It matches the Rfam family "Small nucleolar RNA SNORA3/SNORA45 family". Rfam says of the family: The members of this family belong to the H/ACA class of snoRNAs which are thought to guide the sites of modification of uridines to pseudouridines. Lineage: Eukaryota; Metazoa; Chordata; Mammalia; Eulipotyphla; Soricidae. The record is from RNAcentral.
CUCGAGACUAGAGUCAGACUUAGGUGUCCCAUUGAUUGGUGUGCUACAGUGCUCGAGGAGUAACUGCUGACCGUAUUCACUGGCUGUUGCCCUCACGGCAUAGGCAUUCACCCGAUUAGUCGCAGGU